RNAcentral lists this long non-coding RNA (1576 nucleotides) under Eucalyptus grandis. Its description in RNAcentral is "long non-coding RNA (EGRA_LNC003052)". The record is from RNAcentral. Lineage: Eukaryota; Viridiplantae; Streptophyta; Magnoliopsida; Myrtales; Myrtaceae.
UCUCAAGUCGCUGUCGCUGUUCUGCUUCUUUCUCUUUGGCUUCUACUUCUCUUACAAGCUUAGGCAUGCUUGUUGAUUGCUGAUGCGUAAACACGCCAAGCACACAAAAUCAAAAACCACACUGUUCCUAGCAAAUGCUCAUCUAGAUAUGAUAUUGAAGCAACAAAAUUUACCAGUAAGAUAUUGAACUGCUCUGAAAGAAUAUCUGAUACUAUGAAACGAUUGGUCACCACAAAACCGAAGAGAGAAAAUCAAAUUUGCUCAUCUGAUGGAAGGAGGGUAGAAGGGAUCAUGAUAACUUCUUCCAGGUUGGCAGUCCAACACAAAAGGAUAUAUUGGUCUGCCAUGAAUAAUCUAUAUCCACAACAUAUCAACAAGCAUUCAUAUGUGCAAGUGAAAAAAGGGAGAACACACAACACAGUGCACGCUAACUGCAUCCUCAUGAUAAUUCCCUUAUAGGAAAAGCAACUACCAAAACCCAGUAUCCUCAAAGGUCAAGGAGAGGAAACUUGGAAGUGAUAUAUAGACAAACGGUUAAACAAAUCUCUUAUAGGAGUCCAACAGACAGAAAGACAAAUGCGUCACUCACUAUUCUCAAAGUGUCAAACAAAUAAAUAACCGGAAGCUGUCCCGUUAACUUGUCAUCCCAACUGAAUGUGGGUUUCUGCAACACAUGCUUAGGUCAAGUUUUCUCGCAACAAAUUAACAAACUUUAUGCAAAAGCAUGAUAGUUCCGAGACCCAAAAGAAGUCCCAGAUUCUGCUUGUAGCAAGCGAGGCCGGAAAAGGAAUACUCUUCCCCGCCCAUAGUUUAGCAUACAGAGAAAUUCCCAAUAAAACCGACCCAAUCACCCCCUCCGGGACGCUGACCCUCCCUGUUCUGUUCAUGAACUUCAAGAACAACGGGAAAGAACCGAGAACCAGAGCACCAGACGAGACACCGCAAAACCACGAUAUACCCAAAAGAAAGAAAGAAACACAACCAAAAAAAGAGCAGAGAUGGCGGCUGAAGAACGAAACCUUACCAAGAACGAGAAGAGCUCCGAGUCCAACCCUCUGUUUCUUCGGGUUCGUGAACAGAGCUUUCCUUUCUUGCUUCUUUUUCCUGGGCGUCUAAACUCCACCCGUCUCUGUCGCGAGCUUCCCGAUUUGACCGACGCCUGCCGACGAAUUUAAAGACCCUGGAUCGUCAAGCCGCGCGGGCGAGAAAUCGCGGCAGAUUUUCUCCCGACUCUGAGGAAAAACCGAAAGCCACACAGCUCCAGCGUUUUCCCACUAAAACAAUAGGAAUAGGCGGCGGCUAGGGUUCCGGCGUUGAGACGAGGGGUGGGGAAGGCGACGGCGAGGCGGAGGCGCGUCGAUCGGAGGGCGGCAGCGGAAUCCACGAGAAGCGCAGUCGUCGGAGAAGAAGCCGAAGGGGAGGGGUUCUCGAAAACACGUCUGUUUAGUGUUUAGUGUUUGUGUUUGGUGACUUGUUUGGAAAUUGGAACAAGGGUGUUAACGUGUUUCGGGUCGAACAAUGUUCCAACCCUAAACCCGACCCGAAACAUGUAUUCCGCUUGUUUCAUGUUUGUUAC